GAUGAACGCUGGCGGCGUGCCUAACACAUGCAAGUCGAGCGGCAGCGAGGGGUGCUUGCACCCUGUCGGCGAGCGGCGGACGGCUGAGUAACGCGUGGGAACGUGCCCCAAAGUGAGGAAUAACUGCCCGAAAGGGUAGCUAAUACCGCAUAUUAUCUUCGGAUCAAAGGAUUUAUCCGCUUUGGGAGCGGCUCGCGUCGGAUUAGGUAGUUGGUGAGGUAAUGGCUCACCACGCCGACGAUCCGUAGCUGGUCUGAGAGGAUGACCAGCCAGACUGGAACUGAGACACGGUCCAGAAUCCUACGGGAGGCAGCAGUGAGGAAUCUUCCACAAUGGGCGAAAGCCUGAUGGAGCAACGCCGCGUGCAGGACGAAGGCCUUCGGGUUGUAAACUGCUUUUAUAAGUGAGGAAUAUGACGGUAACUGAUGAAUAAGGAUCGGCUAACUACGUG
RNAcentral lists this ribosomal RNA (451 nucleotides) under uncultured bacterium. RNAcentral describes it as "partial 16S ribosomal RNA". It matches the Rfam family "Bacterial small subunit ribosomal RNA", at positions 28 to 507 of the family's 1533-position model. The record is from RNAcentral.